UGGAAGUUUGAAGCGGGUUGUGUUUCUCAUCAUUCUAACUGAAACAAGUUGAAGAGAGGCAAAGGACGCUAUUGUGUGGUGCAUGGAAGCAACAGUACUAGUUUCUCUAUUGACGAAGUUUUGUUUCAUUUCUUUCGGGUAAAAAAUAGAAAUUGAGAAGACAGUGGAUCAAUUUUGUUUGCGUGCCGUAAAGAUUUUGAUCUGCCGUCGAAGACGAUGCGGAUAUGUGAGAAACAAUUUGAGAUUCGCGCUACCUGAUAUAGUAACGACAAUUGAAAACAUUGAAAAAGAAGAAGAAAUGUAAAAUUUUGCUGACAGAGAUAGUUACGACCACUCGCCUGCAUACCAAGAUAUUCAUCAUACAGAGGCACAAGAUACUAGUAACAAGAGGGUCCCAGCUGAAGGGAAUGAAGGUCCAAUAUCAUUUGCUGUUCAGUCUAAGCCUAAACUUCAAUGUAAAGGUUUUGUCCACUGACUGCUGACCGUUGAAGAAAAUUAAGUGAUAUACCUCUGGUGGGAAUAGCCCCACCCCCUUUGACAGCACAGUACAGGAGAUCACAAUUUUGUGAGACUGUCUCGAUUUAACAAGAGAAGGGCAGCUCUUUUGCAAGCCAUGAAAAUUUCUAUGUAUAUUUGACUUAGAACCAAAAUGUUAUAGGGUCCACAGAGGCACCAAAUGGAGAGAUUAUAUUCAUAAUUAAUUUUGACACCCUUCAAUAUAUGAAAGCAAAACAUGAAAACAUUUCACAUGAGAUGAAUAUUUAAUAUGCAUUUGUACCAUGUGAAACUUCAAGCCUUAAUUCACAUGUCAUGAAGUCUUAAAUAUUGUGCAAUAAACUUGCAAAUGAAAUGUGUAUAAUAAAGUGAACUGUGAGAUAAUCAUAUAAAUUCAAUUUGAACUUCUUUUAUCUUAAGCUUAUCCCAUAAUAGUAGUGUGGAAAAAUAAAACUGACUUAAUAUAAUGGAAAAGCUGGACAAGAUUUUACUAUGAAGAUUUCUAUCUGACACUUGUGAUAAAUGUGCAUAUACAGUAUAUAUUUUUAUUCUUUGAUGAUUAACCAUUUCUUUAUACAAGAUCAACUCUACGUCACUUCAGUCCUCGUGCACGUUAAUGGAAUAGAAGUAAAUCCAAGUUGGGCAAUUUUAACUCUGUGUGAUGUCCACUUGAUGUAAGCAUGUUUCUAAUCUUAAUCAAUGCACAAGCAGGUAGGGGGACCCUGCAUUCUUUU
Molecule: long non-coding RNA, 1229 nt
Organism: Lingula anatina
Lineage: Eukaryota; Metazoa; Brachiopoda; Lingulata; Lingulida; Lingulidae
Source: RefSeq, a predicted model, not a curated record